This 458-nucleotide ribosomal RNA is filed under the name uncultured bacterium. RNAcentral's name for it is "bacterial SSU rRNA". It matches the Rfam family "Bacterial small subunit ribosomal RNA", at positions 28 to 507 of the family's 1533-position model. The record is from RNAcentral.
GAUGAACGCUGGCGGCGUGCUUGCACUUAACAAUCUUUGGUAUCUUAGUGGCGGACGGGUGAGUAACGCGUGGGUAACCUGCCUCAUACAGGGGGAUAACACUUAGAAAUAGGUGCUAAUACCGCAUAAGCGCACAGUUUCGCAUGAGACAGUGUGAAAAACUCCGGUGGUAUACGAUGGAUCCGCGUCUGAUUAGGUAGUUGGUGGGGUAACGGCCCACCAAGCCGACGAUCAGUAGCCGGCCUGAGAGGGUGAACGGCCACAUUGGGACUGAGACACGGCCCAAACUCCUACGGGAGGCAGCAGUGGGGAAUAUUGCACAAUGGGGGAAACCCUGAUGCAGCGACGCCGCGUGAGUGAAGAAGUAUUUCGGUACGUAAAGCUCUAUCAGCAAGGAAGAAAUACCGACCUUUGGUCGCUAGACGGUACUUGACUAAGAAACCCCGGCUAACUACGUG